UUUCCAGGCCACAGUGCGGCAGGCGGACCGCAGGGAGAGGGAGAGAUUUUAGGAAAGACAGUAACAAAAGUUAAAGAAGAGGAGAAAUCAUGACACAAAACAGUGAUCUCAUCGAUGGCCUCUUUUCGCCACUGCACUUGACAUCCCUCAUCAUGGCGCUCGUGUCACCAACAAAUUAUUGAUUUAAGUCGUCUAUACCAACUUGAGGAUAUAAUGCCGGGAAAAGGAUGAGAACUACCGCAGUCGCCUGGAAUUUCUUGUUGGAUUUUAAGUCCGGCGCUCGGGGAUGCAGUUGGAAUUGUUUUUCGUGUGUAUAAUCAAUAUAUGAGAGGAGGAUUACUGGACUACACGAGAGCUUGGGCCGAUCCGUUAUAUUUCACAUCUCAUUAAAGCAUGGGAAUGUCGUCCACCGCUCUGAUCGCAUAGUCACUCCCGCGGGACGCGAUGCAGCCGCGCGCAGAUGUCAAGAUGGGUGAUGCCGCAGAGAUCAAGGAGAGCAAGAGGACGUUCAUCGUGCCGACGAUCAAAUCUGUUGAUCACUAUGAUUUCACCAGGGCCAAGAUAUCGUGCAGUUUGACGUGGCUCAUCGCCAAAGCCUUCGGGUCUGACUGUGUGCCUGUGGAGUUGGAGGAUCCAUUCUACCGAGACCAGUAUGAUCAGGAGCAUGUGAAGCCCCCUGUUGUGUCUCUGCUGCUUUCUGCUGAGUUGUAUUGCCGUGCUGGGAGUCUGAUCCUCAGGAGCGACGCGGCUAGACCUCUGCUGGGGCACAACGCCAUCAUCCAGGCCCUCGCUCAGAAGGGCCUCUACGUCACUGACCAGGAGAGACUUGUGACUGAGAGAGACCUCUGCAAGACCCCCAUACAGAUGACUUCUCACCUGGCACUGAUUGACACUCUGAUGAUGGCGUACACAGUUGAAAUGGUCAGUGUGGAGAGAGUGCUGACCUGCAUACAGAAGUUUACCCCUUUCCCUCCUGAGGAAGACUUCCCUUAUGAUGCUGAAGAGGCCGUGACAACAUGGAUCAACAAGGUAAAUGAACAUCUUAGAGACCUUUUGGCCCAAGAACAAAGAGUUCGAGAUAUAGGAGAACCCUGCCCUGUUCAAAAGGGACGGUACAGGAGAGAGGACUAUAAAGCACGGCAGGUUAUUUGUCUCCCCCUGGUGGACAAUCUCUUGAAGGACAACACAGACGGCUGCUCACUGGCUGCACUGCUGCACUUCUACUGUCCUGAUGCUGUGCCACUGGAAGACAUCUGUGUCAAAGAAACAAUGUCAUUGGCUGACAGUCUGUACAAUCUCCAGCUGAUCCAGGAGUUCUGCAGAGAAAACCUCAACAACUGCUGUCACUUCACCCUGGAGGAUAUGCUGUAUGCCUCCAGCACCAUCAAGAGUAACUACCUUGUGUUUAUGGCAGAGCUAUUCUGGUGGUGUGAAGUUGUGAAACCCUCUUUUGUUCAGCCCCGCACACUCAGUACCAAGGUAUCUGACCCAUCCCAGCCCAAUAAAAUGGCUCCCAUAACCAAACAAAACCUGAUCCACAGACCAGGCAGUCCAGACCAGUCUAGGUCACAACCUAAAAAUGACAACUCGGUUAUCAGGCGGUCGUCCUCCUUGUCGUAUGUUGAUGGAUGUGUGGGGACAUGGCCUAAAGAGAAACGGUCUUCAGCUCAUGGCAUAUCAUUUGAGAUUCCACUUGAUGACAGCAUGAGUUCAUCUUCAGGACGUGGACUGAGCCGAUCGGCAAGCACUGAAGGUUUGGGUUUUAAAGUUCACCACGCGGCCCGAGGCAUGCGGAGGAACCUCUCCUUCCAGCCUGUUAAUGGGAACGCCCACAGCAAAAUUCAUGAGGAGGAUGGUGAGGAAUCCAAGAGACACAUCAGCAGACACCGUCUGGGAAACUACACUGGGUAUUCAAAUGGUGAAUCAGCAGACAACCCAAGCCCUCCGUAUGACCCUCAGCCCAACACCCCUAGUAUAGAAGAAGCCCUGAAGAUCAUCCAUGACUCUGAGCGACCACACAGCAGCUUGCAGCCCCCUUCUGGAGACAGCACUUUUUUCCUGCACAGCCCAUCUUCCCACAACUCCGCAUCUGAUCCAAAUGAUCCAGAGGACUCGCUUUUCAAGGCCAGAGCAGAUGAAGCAGACCUAAAUUCCACUUCUACUGACAUGGACACUGGAAUCCAUGUCCGUACCGAAGACAUCCAAGACGGACAGGAUGAGGAUUCAUCCCUGAAGGACUAUUCGGACAUGGACCAGGACUUCGAAGCUCGUUCCUGUCCACUUCCGGAGAUUUCCGGCAUCCCAUGUCCAAACCUUUUGGAAACGCGCUCCCUGGCCACUAGCAUGGCCUCCUCGUUGGGUUCUGUUGUUCGCAUGACCAGCUUUGCCGAACAGAAGUUUCGUAAACUAAGCCAGGGCGAUGGCCGCAGCAGUGGGAGUGGCGGUAACACGCCGGAGAGCGGCGACCUGAACAUCACAACCCCAGGAGCGUCUGGGACAGUUCGUUCAAUUACUCCUGACGCACACAGCCCCUCUCACAUCACCUCUCCUCAUGAUACCUCACACCUGUUGGCGUCGGAGAUGGUGCAGUUGAAGAUGAAGCUGGAAGAGAAACGCAGAGCCAUUGAGGCACACAAGAAGAAAGUCGAAGCAGCUUUUACACGUCACAGGCAGCGCAUGGGCAGGACCGCCUUCCUCAAUGUGGUCAGGCGUAAAGGAGUUGUGUCCCCACUAGGGGGUGAAAGUGAAGGCCCAGAUGGUCGGGAAAAACAAACCAGUGACCUGCAACCUCUAAAGCCUUCGAAUGACUCCGAUCCCACACUUGAGAGAUGUCGACCUGACGGUGCACCGCCGAAAUCGCCCUUAGAGGAAGCAGCCGCGGAGGUGGACCUGGCAGAAUAUACGCGAUCCAUCGAGCGCCUGAACGUGUCUCUGAGCUUCCUACAGUCAGAGAUGCAGCGCUUGGCACAGCAGCAGGAACACAUCAUGCAAAUGCGUGAUCACCAAAGUUGGGUGAUUUCGCCACCAGAGCCAUCGCCACGUAAACAGAUGCGUGAGCUGCGCAGCAGCAGCUUAGUUGGCCGAGGUUCGGUGGGGUCACUCUCCCCCAUUUUGUCGUCCACCGGUUCGCCACGCACAACGCACCGUUCGCCCUCUAUGAUCAAAAGGAAGUCUGCGUCUUUCCACGCAAGGACGCCACGAACGCCAAGGCCCAACGACCUGAAGGUCACCUCUUUUAGCCGCAUGCUCAACACUCAGCAGUCAGUGGACAGCCUGCCUCGACUUAGACGUUUUUGGCAGAGUGAAGCGCAGUCCAGCCCAUUUGCCUAUAUGGGAGAUGAUGAGAAAGAGUCCAAAGAUGCAGCUGAUAAUUCGCCUGCUCAGGUGAAUGAAAAACAGAGAGAAGAAAAACAGGAUGUUGGAGAGAGUAACCGAUUCAUGAAUGCACCAACAUCUUCUGAAGUUCUGUCUCAGCCAACAAUGGACCAUUUGACACUAACAGCCAGUGGACACACAAAUGAAGAGGAGUUGCAUGAGAAGAAGAGUCUGAUCGAGGUUCCUCUUUCUGUUCUGAAGCCUCUGGAUGGACAUGAUCUGGAGAGCAGCAAAGAAACAGAGACAGGACUAGAAUCUAGACCAGACCAGAAGAUGUGCUGUGGCUUCUUCUAUAAGGAUGACCUGAACGCAGAGGAGGAUAUUGCACAGAAGAAGGCAGCUCUGAUGGAAAAAAGGCUACGGAGGGAAAAAGAGAUGCAGAUCAAGAAACAGCAACAGGAGGCUGAGAUGGAACUAAAGAAAGAAGCAGCACGAUUGAAAGCGGAAGAGGAACGUGAGAAGAACGAGGAUGAGAAGUCAAGACGGGAUUAUAUAAAAAAUGAAUGUUUGAGGAAGAAGCAGCUCAAACUGAUGGAUGACAUGGACAGUGUUAUUAAGCCACGCCCCCCUAGUGUCAAGCAGAAGAAGCCACGCCCCAAAUCUAUGCACAGAGACAUCAUGGAGUCUCCAAAACCUCCAGCACGGACAACCACAGGGUCAAGACCUCGUGGAUAUUCUGUGUCCAGCUUAUCACUCGCCUCCCUGAAUUUGGCAGACACUGAGAGUGUCCAAUCAGAUAAGAGGACAUCCAGAGGCAGCAGACUGUCUCCUGGCAGUCUGUGUUUCUUUCUGAGCUCCCCUAAAGGGAGAAAGGGAAGGUCAGUUUGCAGUCAGCAUCAUGCCCAUGUCAUUUCAGCUUGGACACUGGACAAACUCAUUCGCUUCGACAGAUCAGUUCACCGGAUCAUCAACAUAUUAAUGGAAAACUGUUAUAAUUAUCAUCUCUGAAUCAUUUGUUAUACAACAAUCAGUGGCGGUCCUUGUGUUCAUGUUUUGUUGUAUUACAGUAUUUUUGUUUUAUUCUUGUUGGCUACUUUAUCAUAAAAACAACAGAAAUUGGCUCAUCUUUUAUCAAAAAAAUUAUGAAACUCAAUUUACCUUUUUUUCUUAAAGGGGGGUGAAAUGCUAUUUCAUGCAUACUGAGUUUUUAACACUGUUAAAGAGUUGGAUUCCCAUGCUCAACAUGGACAAAGUUUCAAAAAUUAAGUUGUACGUUUGAAGGAGUAUUUCUGUUCCAAAAAUACUCCUUCCGGUUUGUCACAAGUUUCGGAAAGUUUUUUCAGAGUAUGGCUCUGUGUGACGUUAGAUGGAACAGAAUUUCCUUAUAUAGGUCCUAAGGGCACGUCUGCCGGAAGAGCGCGCGCUCCCGUAUAGCAGAGCAGAGAGAGCACAGACAUUCUUUCACUGAUCAGAGCGAGAGCGUCGCGAAAAGUCACAAAAGAAGUGUGUUUUUGGUUGUCAGGGCAAUACAACCCUGCACAGAUUACCAAAAAAAAAAAAACAGCAUUAAGGGACCAGUGGAUGGAGUUUAUUUUUACAGAGCAUCAACGGAGUUGUGCAAGUGUUUGUGUUUGUUCCCUGCAUUUCGAAGAUGCUUGCUUUACAAACAAGGCCAGUUUGACGCCGGAUUUGCACAUCGUUUAUUUCUUAAGGAUAAUGCAGUCCCAACGAAAAAGGGUCACGAUUGUGUGUUGGAACCGCAGGCGGUGAGUAAAACUGCUUCAAAUAUCUCUGUGUUGUUAACUUAGCUAUCGGCGCGUAAGCACAUCAAGUAAACAACAUGCGAUGUUGGCAUCAAACUGCACUUUCCACAUGUACAGCUUAAAAAAAAAAAAAAGACUACAUAAAGUGGAACUUAGUCAUUUUCCAAAACCGCUAAGCAAAUAUAUACAGUUUCAGUACAUACCACAUAGAGAUGUCCUGCUGUAGUCGUUGCUGAUGCUGCUCUGGUUAAAUUUCAGCCUCUGGAUCUGAUUCUGGAUCAUAAAUAUACGCUGAAUCUGACUGUUAGCCACUGUUUGUUUGGGAUGAUGGUUUUUUCCUCAAGGUACUGUCACAGCUUCCAAACGCUCUCAACGCAAAAGCCUACUCGCGCUCGUGAUUCGUUAGCUCCGCCCACACGUCACACCUCCAGCCGGUUGUGUUUUUCCGGGAAAAAUCAGUACAGACUAUCUUUCUCUUAUAAAUAUAAUAAAACUAAAGACUUUUUGGAGUUAUGAAGGAUGCAGUACUACUCUAUAGGUACUCAAGAUUAACAGAAUAUUGAGUGAAAACGAGCAUUUCACCCCCCCUUUAAAGGGAUAGUCCACCCGAAAAUGAAACAUUUUCAUUCCAAACCUGUAUGACUUACUUUCUUCUGUAGAGCAUGAUGAUGUAUUUUGUAGAUUGUUGGUUACCAAAUGGUUUUAGGUCCCUUUGGCUUUCAUAGUAUGUACAAAAAAAUCCUAUGAAAGUCAGUAAGACCAGAACAUAUCUUCUAUUGUGUUACACAGAAGAAAGAAAGUCAUACAGGUUUGGAAUGAAAUGAGGGUGAGUAAAUAACCAAAUUUUCAUUUUUGGUUGGACUAUCCCUCUAACCAGGUGCAAUUAAUAAAUUAUACUACUUCCAUGUUAGUUUUUGUCCAGCGACAAAUGACAAGUUACAAGACAUUUUUGUCAGUCCAUCUGGUUGCAACAAAAUCAUUAUCUGCAUCACUGUAUAAAAACAUCACAUACUUUCUGAUUGGCCAUUACUUCUAAGUCAUGCAAACAUUUUUGCAUUUACUGUGGGCUUUUUAAAUUACUUGAAUUAGUUGGUGGAAACUUGCACCUGGUUAGAACAUAAUGCAGUGAGUUACAAUUUCUCCUUCAUCCACGCUCUGCUUCCUUUUUUACUGCCUUCAGCUUCUCAACAUCAGUGUGUGGAAUUAUGCUUACUACUAGUUUUUGGGCUCUUCAUUUUAUAUGAAACAUUGCUUUUUCCAGCAGCAAUACAGGCCACCUGUAAAAUGGGUACUUCAGAGCUAUUCUAAGUGUGUCUGAUUGUGUAUUUUCAGGCCAGAGUCCUCAGAGGGCUUUCUGUCACCGUGUCCAUCUGUAAGUGGAAACGGGGAGAACUGGGAGCUUGAAUCAACAACAUCGUCUGCAGCAUCUAACGCAGAAUACACAGGGCCAAAGUUGUACAAGGAGCCCAGUGCUAAAUCAAA
Carassius gibelio (silver crucian carp) is the source of this 6560-nucleotide RNA transcript. It is a transcript of the gene named calmodulin-regulated spectrin-associated protein 2, with no coding region annotated. NCBI's taxonomy places the organism in Eukaryota, Metazoa, Chordata, Actinopteri, Cypriniformes, Cyprinidae. The record is from RefSeq and is a predicted model, not a curated record. The transcript is spliced from 17 exons.